This 370-nucleotide ribosomal RNA is filed under the name uncultured organism. Its description in RNAcentral is "bacterial SSU rRNA". It matches the Rfam family "Bacterial small subunit ribosomal RNA", at positions 526 to 896 of the family's 1533-position model. The record is from RNAcentral.
CGUAGGGUGCAAGCGUUAAUCGGAAUUACUGGGCGUAAAGCGUGCGCAGGCGGUUAUGCAAGACAGAGGUGAAAUCCCCGGGCUCAACCUGGGAACUGCCUUUGUGACUGCAUAGCUAGAGUACGGUAGAGGGGGAUGGAAUUCCGCGUGUAGCAGUGAAAUGCGUAGACAUGCGGAGGAACACCGAUGGCGAAGGCAAUCCCCUGGACCUGUACUGACGCUCAUGCACGAAAGCGUGGGGAGCAAACAGGAUUAGAUACCCUGGUAGUCCACGCCCUAAACGAUGUCAACUGGUUGUUGGGAGGGUUUCUUCUCAGUAACGUAGCUAACGCGUGAAGUUGACCGCCUGGGGAGUACGGCCGCAAGGUUG